Pristis pectinata (smalltooth sawfish) is the source of this 504-nucleotide long non-coding RNA. RefSeq lists it as uncharacterized. The record is from RefSeq and is a predicted model, not a curated record. The transcript has 2 exons. NCBI's taxonomy places the organism in Eukaryota, Metazoa, Chordata, Chondrichthyes, Rhinopristiformes, Pristidae.
CAAGAAAAAUGGCAGGCAGCUAACAGUGACGGGGAUGAAACGGUUGAAAGGGCACCUUCCGAGAAUCUGUGCUGUUCCCAGUACUGAGACAAACAUCGAAUGCUGCCGGAAGAUCAUCAACUCAGUGAAAGGACACACAGCCUGAAAUCUGUGCUCUCCCAGUGCAAAGAAUGUUGUUAACUGGUACAUCCCAAGAUACACAAGUACCUGCUGCGGGGCACACUGACCUCAGUGCAAGCCACCAUAUGGGCUCUGUGAAGAAAGACCACAGGAUAGGGUGACAGUGUCUUCCCACAGCUGUACAUCGAGGGUCUGCACCCUGUGUAAUAACUUCUCAAACUUAUCACUGACACAAUGUUUGGGACUGAAAAUUUUCAGACAUGUUGACGCAUUGUAAAUAUUGUAAGCAAGUGUGUUGAUAUGCUUGGUACAGUGAAUAAAGACAAUGCUGUACUCCCAAUUGUAUAACUAUAUAUUUUAGGAAUAAAGUAUAGGGUAAAUGGA